Molecule: long non-coding RNA, 713 nt
Organism: Engraulis encrasicolus (European anchovy)
Lineage: Eukaryota; Metazoa; Chordata; Actinopteri; Clupeiformes; Engraulidae
Exons: 3
Source: RefSeq, a predicted model, not a curated record
ACGCUCACGGCUUGCGGAAGACCCAUGACUGGAUGAGGCAAAGCACGUCGCCCGGCCACAUUUAGGCUAUUCACAGCUUCGCGAUUGCCGGCAUGCCAGCUGGAAUUAAAUCAGCUGUGUGAUCAGCUCAUCUAUCGGCUGGGAAGGACGUAGGCUAUCUGUGGUUCCCCAAAAGUCCAAGGAACGUUAGCCUAUUUGAUUGGUUUGUAGCCUAGGCUACUAUAACCAAAGGGAACGUUGUUAAGUGAUAGAUUUUGGUUUGCUUAACUAAACCUUUAGAAACCCAAAGUCAAGCGUGUUCCGUUUCAUUAUGCUAGGGCGCACCAGAGAGUGACGUGCAGACAGGAGGCGGCUACUGAGCGCGCUGGACGGCUCCAAAGAGAAAUGCGUUAGUGUCAUUCUAGUGUUUGGAGAGAACGUUCACAAAUGUUUACAAUCCGCUUUUAUCUUAACACUUUUAAUUCAAAUGCCAAUAUGGGGAACCUGGUUAUUGUCUCUAUCGCAAUUUGUAGGUUUGACGACAAGCCCUUGUCAUGUGAUGUCGGGGAAAAUGGCUUGUCCGUCUCAAAACGUCUAUAUCGUUCUUCAUCAGAACCCUUUCUGAAGCCUAAGCUAUCACUGAGUAAAGUCGUUCAAGAGACUAUAUUGAAAUGGAAAAGAUUUUUGAUAUUCAAAAGACCAUGGAGAGAAUCAACCUGCUAUGAAUACAAUGU